CAGAGCCGAAAUCCCAGAGCACUGAAAGAGGAGCCAGUGUCAUGGGGCUUCUGGUUUCAGGACACACUGGAAAGGGUCCAGCCACUUUGUCACAAGCUACAUCUAUGGAGAGCACCGACCCCCGGCUACGGGUGAGACAGAUAAGAGGAUAACAGGGGGCAGGAGCUGACGGAGAAAGAAGGUGGCAAGACAGAGCAGACUGUGGGUUCCUUCAACAGGGUGAACAUGAGAGAUAGAAGCCACCGGUUUCUCCUGAUAGUGUGUAGAUGGGCAGAUCUGGCCUCAAUGGCAGAAGAUACUUGGGGAACUGGAGAAAGUACAGAGGGAGAUGUGAAAUCAGUUGGGUCAUCAAAAGAAGACGGGUGUACCACAAUUUGUUCCUCCACCUGCUGCCCAUGAACAUUUGGAUGGUUUCUAGUUUUUGGCUAUUACAAGUAAAGUUGUCAUGAACAUUUGC
RNAcentral lists this long non-coding RNA (457 nucleotides) under Pongo abelii (Sumatran orangutan). RNAcentral describes it as "lincRNA". The record is from RNAcentral. Lineage: Eukaryota; Metazoa; Chordata; Mammalia; Primates; Hominidae.